GCUUGCUCCCGGAUGUUAGCGGCGGACGGGUGAGUAACACGUGGGUAACCUGCCUGUAAGACUGGGAUAACUCCGGGAAACCGGAGCUAAUACCGGAUAGUUCCUUGAACCGCAUGGUUCAAGGAUGAAAGACGGUUUCGGCUGUCACUUACAGAUGGACCCGCGGCGCAUUAGCUAGUUGGUGGGGUAAUGGCUCACCAAGGCGACGAUGCGUAGCCGACCUGAGAGGGUGAUCGGCCACACUGGGACUGAGACACGGCCCAGACUCCUACGGGAGGCAGCAGUAGGGAAUCUUCCGCAAUGGACGAAAGUCUGACGGAGCAACGCCGCGUGAGUGAUGAAGGUUUUCGGAUCGUAAAGCUCUGUUGUUAGGGAAGAACAAGUGCGAGAGUAACUGCUCGCACCUUGACGGUACCUAACCAGAAAGCCACGGCUAACUACGUGCCAGCAGCCGCGGUAAUACGUAGGUGGCAAGCGUUGUCCGGAAUUAUUGGGCGUAAAGGGCUCGCAGGCGGUUUCUUAAGUCUGAUGUGAAAGCCCCCGGCUCAACCGGGGAGGGUCAUUGGAAACUGGGAAACUUGAGUGCAGAAGAGGAGAGUGGAAUUCCACGUGUAGCGGUGAAAUGCGUAGAGAUGUGGAGGAACACCAGUGGCGAAGGCGACUCUCUGGUCUGUAACUGACGCUGAGGAGCG
Molecule: ribosomal RNA, 692 nt
Filed under: uncultured Bacillus sp.
Lineage: Bacteria; Bacillati; Bacillota; Bacilli; Caryophanales; Bacillaceae
Description: bacterial SSU rRNA
Rfam family: Bacterial small subunit ribosomal RNA
Source: RNAcentral